GAUGGACGCUGGCGGCGUGCCUAAUACAUGCAAGUCGAGCGAACAGACGAGGAGCUUGCUCCUCUGACGUUAGCGGCGGACGGGUGAGUAACACGUGGAUAACCUACCUAUAAGACUGGGAUAACUUCGGGAAACCGGAGCUAAUACCGGAUAAUAUAUUGAACCGCAUGGUUCAAUAGUGAAAGACGGUUUUGCUGUCACUUAUAGAUGGAUCCGCGCCGCAUUAGCUAGUUGGUAAGGUAACGGCUUACCAAGGCAACGAUGCGUAGCCGACCUGAGAUGGUGAUCGGCCACACUGGAACUGAGACACGGUCCAGACUCCUACGGGAGGCAGCAGUAGGGAAUCUUCCGCAAUGGGCGAAAGCCUGACGGAGCAACGCCGCGUGAGUGAUGAAGGUCUUCGGAUCGUAAAACUCUGUUAUUAGGGAAGAACAAAUGUGUAAGUAACUAUGCACGUCUUGACGGUACCUAAUCAGAAAGCCACGGCUAACUACGUG
RNAcentral lists this ribosomal RNA (497 nucleotides) under uncultured bacterium. RNAcentral describes it as "partial 16S ribosomal RNA". It matches the Rfam family "Bacterial small subunit ribosomal RNA", at positions 28 to 507 of the family's 1533-position model. The record is from RNAcentral.